UUGCUUUAGCAGCAUAUAUAUUAAAAUUGGAAUGGUACAGAGAAGAUUAGUGUGGCCCCUGUGCAAGGAUGACAUGCAAAUUUGUUAACUGUCCCAUAUUUUC
Molecule: small nuclear RNA, 103 nt
Filed under: Propithecus coquereli (Coquerel's sifaka)
Lineage: Eukaryota; Metazoa; Chordata; Mammalia; Primates; Indriidae
Source: RNAcentral